GACGAACGCUGGCGGCGUGCUUAACACAUGCAAGUCGAACGAAGAGCGAUGGAAGCUUGCUUCUAUCAAUCUUAGUGGCGAACGGGUGAGUAACGCGUAAUCAACCUGCCCUUCAGAGGGGGACAACAGUUGGAAACGACUGCUAAUACCGCAUACGAUCCAACCUCGGCAUCGAGGAUGGAUGAAAGGUGGCCUCUAUUUAUAAGCUAUCACUGAAGGAGGGGAUUGCGUCUGAUUAGCUAGUUGGAGGGGUAACGGCCCACCAAGGCAAUGAUCAGUAGCCGGUCUGAGAGGAUGAACGGCCACAUUGGGACUGAGACACGGCCCAGACUCCUACGGGAGGCAGCAGUGGGGAAUCUUCCGCAAUGGACGAAAGUCUGACGGAGCAACGCCGCGUGAGUGAUGACGGCCUUCGGGUUGUAAAGCUCUGUUAAUCGGGACGAAAGGUCCUCUUGCGAAUAGUUAGAGGAAUUGACGUACCG
Molecule: ribosomal RNA, 482 nt
Filed under: Veillonella sp. oral taxon 158
Lineage: Bacteria; Bacillati; Bacillota; Negativicutes; Veillonellales; Veillonellaceae
Description: bacterial SSU rRNA
Rfam family: Bacterial small subunit ribosomal RNA
Source: RNAcentral